GAUGAACGCUGGCGGCGUGCCUAAUACAUGCAAGUCGAGCGAACGGACGAGAAGCUUGCUUUUCUGAUGUUAGCGGCGGACGGGUGAGUAACACGUGGAUAACCUACCUAUAAGACUGGGAUAACUUCGGGAACCGGAGCUAAUACCGGAUAAUAUUUUGAACCGCAUGGUUCAAAAGUGAAAGACGGUCUUGCUGUCACUUAUAGAUGGAUCCGCGCUGCAUUAGCUAGUUGGUAAGGUAACGGCUUACCAAGGCAACGAUGCAUAGCCGACCUGAGAGGGUGAUAGGCCACCCUGGAACUGAGACACGGUCCAGACUCCUACGGGAGGCAGCAGUAGGGAAUCUUCCGCAAUGGGCGAAAGCCUGACGGAGCAACGCCGCGUGAGUGAUGAAGGUCUUCGGAUCGUAAAACUCUGUUAUUAGGGAAGAACAUAUGUGUAAGUAACUGUGCACAUCUUGACGGUACCUAAUCAGAAAGCCACGGCUAACUACGUG
RNAcentral lists this ribosomal RNA (496 nucleotides) under uncultured bacterium. RNAcentral describes it as "partial 16S ribosomal RNA". It matches the Rfam family "Bacterial small subunit ribosomal RNA", at positions 28 to 507 of the family's 1533-position model. The record is from RNAcentral.